This 471-nucleotide ribosomal RNA is filed under the name Triticum aestivum (bread wheat). RNAcentral's name for it is "partial small subunit ribosomal RNA". The record is from RNAcentral. Lineage: Eukaryota; Viridiplantae; Streptophyta; Magnoliopsida; Poales; Poaceae.
AUGCCAUUUACAUAUGUUUAUUCAAAUACUUUGAUAUAUUCCCGCAAUAUAUAUACUUUGAUAUGUAUUAGCAGUCAAAACUCGGGACAUAUUUCAUUAAGUAAUUUAUACGAGUCAUUGGUCUUUCUUUCAUGGGCUCUGUAUAUACUUCAUACAAUUCUUAUAAUACAUAAGUCUAACAAUGAUUUAAGCGCAACAACUACGCCAAGUACCAUUUUAAUACAAGGCUUUGCCACAUCGGGGCUUUUAACUAAAAUGCACCAAUCCACGAUACUAGUACCUGCUCUACAAUCUCAGUGGUUAAUAUUUCAUGUCUGUAUGAUGAAAUUAAGCUAUGCAACUCUUUUGUGUGGAUCCUUAUUAUCUGUUGCUAUUUUAAUCAUUAGAUUUUGAAAUAAUUUCUAUUUCUUUUUUAAAAAUAAAAAUAUUUUAAAUAAAACAUUUGAUGCAUCAAAGACCAUGCAAAGUUAA